CCACGCUUUUCAGGCUUCUUGAUGGCAACAUGUUUUCCAUCAAUGGCACCCACACAGUGAGGGAAGUUCCAGCGUGAUAGAAAUGAUGUGCCACUUCUUUCCAUUCCUCUGGAGUAUCUGGACACAUGAGAACUUCAUCAGAUAACUCCUCGAUUAUGGCCUGGCACACUUGCAGUACAAACAAACUGAUGGUGUUGUGGGCAACUCGAAA
Thalassophryne amazonica is the source of this 211-nucleotide long non-coding RNA. RefSeq lists it as uncharacterized. The transcript is spliced from 3 exons. The record is from RefSeq and is a predicted model, not a curated record. NCBI's taxonomy places the organism in Eukaryota, Metazoa, Chordata, Actinopteri, Batrachoidiformes, Batrachoididae.